RNAcentral lists this long non-coding RNA (248 nucleotides) under Ananas comosus (pineapple). RNAcentral describes it as "long non-coding RNA (ACOM_LNC038425)". The record is from RNAcentral. Lineage: Eukaryota; Viridiplantae; Streptophyta; Magnoliopsida; Poales; Bromeliaceae.
AUAUUUUCAGCUAACAAACCAGUUGUGAUAUUAAAUGUAACGAUCUAGUCCACUGACACUAAUAAUUUAUUAGGUCCAAAUAGUUAAUCUAAAAUAUUUAAGCCCAAUCAUUAACAUUAGAGUCUGUAAUUGUUAUAUUUUUAUUCAAUCCGACAGAAACUAUAAAGACAUCACAUACAUGUAAAUCAGAAUUAUAUUUGUACUACAACAAAAUAAUAGGAGAGACGUAUGAAUGAGAAACUAUUUUU